CAGAGUUCAUGCCCUCACGGGUAGAUCUCCCACCCUUGAAUAUUAUACCUUAGUUGCUUUGGCAGGCCGGGGCAACCCCCGGGGCUUCGGCCAUGGUGUGCCUGCCAGAGGAAACAAACUCUGUUUUUAGUGAUGUCUGAGUACUAUAUAAUAGUUAAAACUUUCGACAACGGA
RNAcentral lists this unclassified non-coding RNA (174 nucleotides) under uncultured Naevala. The record is from RNAcentral. Lineage: Eukaryota; Fungi; Ascomycota; Leotiomycetes; Helotiales; Dermateaceae.